GUGGCCUCCAGCGUCUAUGACCUGAGCAUCGGGUAACUCCGUGGAGUGUUGGGAGAACCACACACCCCCCACUUCCACCCAGGAGCAGACGUGCUGGUCAGAAGACACUGGAUCUGGCGCAGCACCUGAAACUGACUCCUCUAACUAGCUGCCCCUCGUCCCCCAGCUGGGGGCCCGGGGAAGCUCCGGGGCUGGGUAACCUCCCGCCGCGCCAGAGCGCUUGAGGGAACUUCCAGAACAGAUGCCCUCUGAGACUUGAGUCCAUUCGUUCUGCUCCUGUCUCAGGGUAGCAAGAGGCCCAGGAGCAAAACCGAAGCGGCUUUGUCUCCCUGUGAGAAGUGGGCAAUGAACGACCAGUCACGGCGCUCGCGGAGGCUGCGGUGCACCGCUCACCUGGGUUUCCUUGGCUCUCGGCACCCACCGAGGUUGUGCUGAUGUAUCCAGCUCAGGUGGCGCCUGUGGGGCUUUUAGAUACAUUCAGUGAAAUAAGUGUCAGCUCGAGAACGAGGCUUUAUGGUUUGUUUAUCGGGUGAUGUGUGACUGAUUAUGGGCCAGUGGCAGGAGUGUUUUGACCCAUCUUUUUUUCCCACUUUUAUUGAGAUAUAAUCAACAUGACAGUCCUGCAUGAGUUUAGGGGCUACGGCAUACUGACGUGGCAUACAUGUGCUGUGAAGGGGUUACCACAGUAAGUUUAGUUAACAUCCAUCUCCUUGGUUAGUUGCCAAAAAAAAUGUCUUUAAUACCGAUAGUAAAUGCAGCCAGUAACAGACCUUUGGGCGGACACUCAGCACAACUGUGGUGGAGAAAGAGCAGCAGGUAAGGAGUGAGGUUCUUGACCCCAGGACUGGGUAGGGCUUCAACACCCCCUGGAAUUACGUACCGUUUCCCUGAAGGAAAUUGCUUUCAUCAAAUGGGUCUGCAUCCCAGAAUUUUCUCUCUUCUCUGCCUCUCUCCCUCUCUGUCUCUCUCUCUCACACACACACACACACACACACACACACACAACACAGAGUCAGGAUAUGGAUGACGGCUUUGGGGAAGGGGCAGAUCAGGUGGAUCCUGGCGCUGAAAGGUAACAUUGAGAAGCUUCUCUCUCAGGUGUGACCUCCUUAGAAUCCUCAUUGCUGUGUCCAGAACGCGUCUUAUAGAAAUUGGUCUCAAAUUAACUGUAAACUGAAGGCACCUUCCGGCUGUGAGAGCACCGGGUAGGUCUUCGGAUCCCUUCACAGGGUUUCCUCCUGAAGCCACAUGUUCCCCGAGUGGCUUCGUGUGAGCCCAGGCCUCCUCCACGACCACAGGGCAGAGAGGGGCCUGUUCACACACACACAGGGUGUGAAGGGUGUGCAGACCUUGCUGAAAGUGGGUUCCUCAACCGAGAGGUCACCCACAGUGAGCACUCUGCCUAAGGCUGACACCAGAGCAGGGUCACCUGAACAGGAGCCGGUCCUGUGGCUGGAGCCUCUUGCAGACCCGAAUGUUGGGCACCAUUGUGAGCUUUGCCAGGAGCCCAUGAAAUCUAGGCUGACCCCCAGGGCCACAUGUCUGCUGCUCUUGAGCUGAAAGCAAAUGCAUAUAGCAAGUGCCACUAUUGAAUGAAUUGUUUUCUGUUUGUCAAUGUUGUCAUUGAUUCUGCAGUGAUGAUUUCUGCUGGGAAACCUUGAGGCUGCUUCUUCCAGAAUUGUUUCUUCAUGAGCUUCAACAAAACUGGAGGGAAAGCCUGCUACUUAGAAUGAAAUAGGGAAUGAAGCCCAAACACUAGAGCAGGUCGGUGUAAACCAGCAUGAUGGGCAGAGAAGAGAAGGAGGAUUACGCGGAGCCCACGCUGGGCCUGAUGGCUUCCUGACUUGAUGGAAGGGCUCUUGCCAGGUUCCGGAUGCCCCCGAGACCACCUCAGCCUGUAGACUGGCACAACUUCAUGUCAUAGCAAGUUGCUUGGUUGGUGAGGAGCCUCUGGACCACGGAGGCUCAGCAAACAGCAGUGCCCAGGCAGAACCAUAUCGCCCAAGCCCUGGCCCCAUGCCUACAUCCACGUGGUACCACGGUGAGACCGAGUCUCCACCUGAACAGACACCAGGGCCAGCGGCGGGUCUCCAGUGACGGUGCGCGCAUCCCUACCGCCAGCCUGCGCGACAAAGUGCCUCCACAUCUUCAUCAGGCAACAGAAAAGGGCAACGGAGCUGCUUCCUCAGAAAACUGAUGCAGUUAAAGCGCUAUCCUUUAACAGCCAUGCUUUUCCUCCACUUUCGGUACUGAAAUAUACCUUCAUGAAAUGAAGAACAAAUAGUAUUUUUUUUUUACAAUUUCCUACUUAAAAAUAGUUGCUGAUACUGUGCCCCACCUCCCAGAAAUUUUAAUACUAAGAUAAUAAAAUUGAUCUGCCUCCUGACCUGUGAGAUCAGGAAAUCUAGGGACCUGUGGUCUAGUUCAAAUCCCUUGUUUUACAGAAAAUCAGAUAGGCUCAGAGAAAGGAAAGCCCGUCGCUCGGGAACGCUGGGCCCCAGCAGGCUGCGCGUGUUUAACCUCAGGAGUUAUGUAUUUGUGGGUAGGCCUUUAUGUUGC
Molecule: long non-coding RNA, 2559 nt
Organism: Manis pentadactyla (Chinese pangolin)
Lineage: Eukaryota; Metazoa; Chordata; Mammalia; Pholidota; Manidae
Exons: 3
Source: RefSeq, a predicted model, not a curated record